CCUACGGGAGUCAGCAGUGAGGAAUAUUGGUCAAUGGUCGGGAGACUGAACCAGCCAAGCCGCGUGAGGGAGGAAGGUACAGAGUAUCGUAAACCUCUUUUGUCAGGGAACAAAGGCGGGGACGUGUCCCCGGAUGAGUGUACCUGACGAAAAAGCAUCGGCUAACUCCGUGCCAGCAGCCGCGGUAAUACGGAGGAUGCGAGCGUUAUCCGGAUUUAUGGGGUUUAAAGGGUGCGCAGGCGGUCUGUUAAGUCAGCGGUCAAAGCCCGGGGCUCAACCCCGGCCCGCCGUUGAAACUGGCAGUCUCGAGUUGGAGAGAAGUAUGCGGAAUGCGCGGUGUAGCGGUGAAAUGCAUAGAUAUCGCGCAGAACUCCGAUUGCGAAGGCAGCAUGCCGGCUCCACACUGACGCUGAGGCACGAAAGCGUGGGUAUCGAACAGGAUUAGAUACCCGGGUAGUC
This 459-nucleotide ribosomal RNA is filed under the name uncultured bacterium. RNAcentral describes it as "partial 16S ribosomal RNA". It matches the Rfam family "Bacterial small subunit ribosomal RNA", at positions 338 to 795 of the family's 1533-position model. The record is from RNAcentral.